Oryza sativa Japonica Group (Japanese rice) is the source of this 1167-nucleotide long non-coding RNA. RefSeq lists it as uncharacterized. The record is from RefSeq and is a predicted model, not a curated record. Lineage: Eukaryota; Viridiplantae; Streptophyta; Magnoliopsida; Poales; Poaceae.
UAUCUGCCUUUUCCUCGAAUACAUUUCAUCGAACACCUUGUGAGCAUGCUUCAUCAUCACUGGUUGGAGCCGAAGCCGGCGUAGCUGACCGCGGGAGCUGUGGCUCGGGCCGCCUCUACUUCUUCUGCUGCCUUGCAUCAACGCCGGGAGCCGCUGGACGUCGGGGAGAGUGCGUCGAACACCUGCGUGCGCUGCCGACGUCGAUUCGCCCCUGCUUCACCCGCACCGUGCCGCGCAUCACCGACCUAUGCCGUUGCUCCACCGCACGAUUCCGAGGGAGUGGUUGAGUUGACUGCAAAACAAGGACAGCAAGACAGUGAGCAAGGCAAGUCAUCACUAAUCUUUGAGCAUAUUGGACCUAUUGCGAACUUAUUUUGAUUUAAAUAAAGUUUGCAUGCUAUUUAUAUGUGAAUGUCCUACUUUGUUAUAUGCCAUACCUUUGAUAUUGAUUAUCCAUACAAUCUUUGUAAUCCAUAAUAUCGUGUGUUUUUAGUCAAUGCUUGACCAAAGCAUGGGUAUGAUUUGACUGAUAAACCUGAUGUUUUAUUAUUUUUUUUCUUUUUACUUCUAACUUGAUUGCCAUUUUUUUUGAGAAUUCCUUCGUAAAUCCCACAGCAAAGCACGGGGAAUCACCUAGUCAAUACUCCCUCCUUCCAAAAGUCUCAGUCGUAUUUGGUUUUCUUGUUUUUCCAGAUGAGAUGGGCGCAUUCCACUCUGCAUGCAUGCAUGCAGGCUUUAAAUGUGUAGCUGGUCUCUUCGUUAAACAUGCAUGGAUUUAAUUCCUCUCAGCAACCGAACAGUAUUCUUUUGCAUGCAUGCAAAUCCAUCCGUUGCCUAUUCGCGAGCGGUGGGCGCGGACGGUUGCGGUGUUGCACACACGCGUAUCGUGCAUCAACCGAAGCGUCGCUUCCUCUAAAUCCAUGCAGAUGUAGCGAUGGUUAAAUGCGUCGGAGAGUUCCUUGGUCUUGGAGCAAAACGUAAUACGACUGAGACUUUUGGAAGGAGGGAGUAUAUAUGAGUGAGACCAAUGUUUACUUGAACUUUAUCUUAUUUAGUCUUCUUUACAUUGAGAACAUCAACAUAAUGAAGGUUUGUAUUUAUGUGUCUUUAUUAUUGCUACAUGCGUUCUCCAUGUGUAGGGAACAAACCCCAUUGGUUUUUCUCUAA